RNAcentral lists this ribosomal RNA (253 nucleotides) under uncultured bacterium. Its description in RNAcentral is "partial 16S ribosomal RNA". It matches the Rfam family "Bacterial small subunit ribosomal RNA", at positions 524 to 776 of the family's 1533-position model. The record is from RNAcentral.
UACGGGGGGGGCAAGCGUUGUUCGGAAUUACUGGGCGUAAAGGGCUCGUAGGCGGCCAACUAAGUCGGACGUGAAAUCCCUCGGCUUAACUGGGGAACUGCGUCCGAUACUGGAUGGCUUGAGUUCGGGAGAGGGAUGUGGAAUUCCAGGUGUAGCGGUGAAAUGCGUAGAUAUCUGGAGGAACACCGGUGGCGAAGGCGGCAUCCUGGACCGACACUGACGCUGAUGAGCGAAAGCCAGGGGAGCAAACGGG